RNAcentral lists this long non-coding RNA (1809 nucleotides) under Homo sapiens (human). RNAcentral describes it as "non-protein coding lnc-ST8SIA4-11:1". Lineage: Eukaryota; Metazoa; Chordata; Mammalia; Primates; Hominidae. The record is from RNAcentral.
AUAACCAUGUAUGCCACCAUAACCAUCCUAGCCCUAACUUCCUUAAUUCCCCCGAUCAUUGCCACCUUCAUCAACCCUAACAAAAAGAGUUCAUACCCCCACUAUGUAAAAUCAAUUAUUGCAUCCGCCUUUAUUAUUAGCCUCCUCCCCACAACAAUAUUCAUAUGCCUAGACCAAGAAGUUAUUAUCUCAAACUGACACUGAGCAACAACCCAAACAAUACAACUCUCGCUAAGCUUUAAACUAGACUAUUUCUCCAUAAUAUUAAUCCCUGUAGCACUAUUCGUCACAUGAUCCAUCAUAGAAUUCUCACUAUGGUAUAUAAGCUCAGACCCAAACAUUAAUCAAUUUUUCAAGUAUCUGCUUAUUUUCCUAAUCACCAUACUAAUCCUAGUUACAGCUAACAACCUAUUCCAACUCUUCAUCGGCUGAGAGGGCGUAGGGAUUAUAUCCUUCUUACUCAUUAGCUGGUGGUAUGCUCGAACAGAUGCCAACACAGCAGCCGUCCAAGCAAUCCUAUACAACCAUAUUGGUGACAUCAGCUUCAUCCUAGCCCUAGCAUGAUUUUUCCUACACUCCAACUCAUGAGAACCACAACAAAUAUUCCUCUUAAGUGCUAACCCCAACCUUAUCCCACUACUAGGUUUCCUCCUAGCAGCAGCAGGAAAAUCAGCUCAACUAGGCCUUCACCCCUGACUCCCCUCAGCCAUGGAAGGCCCUACCCCUGUCUCAGCCCUACUCCACUCAAGCACCAUAGUUGUAGCUGGGGUCUUUCUACUCAUCCGCUUCCACCCCCUAGCAGAAAAUAGCCCGCCAACCCAAACCCUCACACUAUGUUUAGGCGCUAUAACUACCCUACUCGCAGCAGUCUGCGCCCUCACACAAAAUGAUAUCAAAAAAAUCGUGGCCUUCUCUACUUCAAGCCAAUUGGGACUCAUAAUAGUCACAAUCGGCAUCAACCAGCCAUACCUAGCAUUCCUACACAUCUGUACCCACGCCUUCUUCAAAGCCAUGCUAUUUGUAUGCUCCGGAUCCAUUAUCCAUAACCUCAACAAUGAACAAGACAUUCGAAAAAUAGGAGGACUACUCAAAACUAUACCCCUCACUUCAACCUCCCUCACCAUUGGCAGCCUAGCACUUGCAGGAAUACCCUUUCUCACAGGUUUCUACUCCAAAGACCUCAUCAUCGAAACCACAAACAUAUCAUACACCAACGCCUGAGCCCUAUCUAUUACUCUCAUCACCACCUCCCUGACAAGUGCCUACAGCACUCGAAUAAUUCUUCUCACCCUAACAGGCCAACCUCGUUUCCCAACCCUUAACAAUAUCAACGAAAACUGCCCCACCCUAUUAAACCCCAUUAAAUGCCUAACAAUCGGAAGUCUUUUCGCAGGAUUUCUCAUCACCAACAGCAUUUUCCCCGCAUCCACUCCCCAAAUAACAAUCCCACUUUACGUAAAACUCACAGCCCUAGGCAUCACCUCCCUAGGACUCCUUACAGCCCUAGACCUCAACUACCUAACCAACAAACUCAAAAUAAAAACCCCACUAUAUACAUUUUACUUUUCUAAUAUACUCGGAUUCUACCCCAGUAUUACUCAUCACACAAUCCCUUACCUAAGCCUUCUUGCAAGCCAAAAUUUACCCCUACUUCUUCUAGACCUAACUUGACUAGAGAAACUGUUACCUAAAACAAUUUCACAAUACCAAAUCUCGGCCUCCAUCACCACCUCAACUCAAAAAGGCAUAAUCAAACUUUAUUUCCUCUCUUUUUUCUUCCCACUCCUCCUAACCCUUCUUCUAAUCACA